Molecule: ribosomal RNA, 274 nt
Filed under: uncultured bacterium
Lineage: Bacteria
Description: partial 16S ribosomal RNA
Rfam family: Bacterial small subunit ribosomal RNA
Source: RNAcentral
AUACAGAGGGUGCGAGCGUUAAUCGGAAUUACUGGGCGUAAAGCGCGCGUAGGCGGCUUAUUAAGUCAGAUGUGAAAUCCCCGGGCUCAACCUGGGAACUGCAUCUGAUACUGGUAAGCUAGAGUCUUGGAGAGGGAAGUAGAAUUUCAGGUGUAGCGGUGAAAUGCAUAGAGAUCUGAAGGAAUACCAGUGGCGAAGGCGACUUCCUGGCCAAAAACUGACGCUGAGGUGCGAAAGCGUGGGUAGCAAACGGGAUUAGAAACCCCAGUAGUCC